This is a long non-coding RNA of Mercenaria mercenaria, 1642 nucleotides long. RefSeq lists it as uncharacterized. The record is from RefSeq and is a predicted model, not a curated record. Lineage: Eukaryota; Metazoa; Mollusca; Bivalvia; Venerida; Veneridae. The transcript has 4 exons.
AAUUAAUUUUGUUCAACUUGCCUGCUACUUUGAUAAUUCUUAUGAAAUUUGGAUUAAAAUUUAAUUUGAUUUAAUACAUCUUUAAAGAAUAAAGAGUUUUAUCUUGUUUUCUUUAGAGCAAAAGAACUAAAAUCUGGUAAACUAACACACGUGUAAUACGCGCCCUUGUAGCUUUAGGUUUCGGGUACUUAAAAGCUUAAACCGAUGUUCAGUUGUCUGAUACUUAACGUUGUUUUUUUUUUUCAUACAGAAAUAGGCAUUACUAAACGCUAUCUAUAUCAUAGUUUUUUUCCGACAGAAAAGCUACAGAUCUAAUUGUCACGUGACGUGUCUACAACAAGCCGUCUUACUAUAAUUUCUGUGAUUAAGGAAAUAUAUAAAAUGUAUAUAGAGAUAUUUCUAAAAGUUUUAAAGCUAGAUCUACCAGUUUUAAAUAAAGAGAUACGUUUUCAAUGCCAAUAUAGUGCUAUAUAUUUAAAAGAUAAUACUGUAAAAGCUAUCUGAGUGUACAAGGCCAUUUGAAAGAUAUCUCUUUGCAUAAAAGUGAGAUCUUUAAUAUAUUUAAAGGCUAGCUCUCUUUUGUUGAAAGAGCCGAUAGAUGGCGUUACAGAGCUAGCAGUGUUUGAAAUGAUAUAUUAAUGAUGAUACUGUAAAGCAGAGAGCACUGCUAGCACCUAUGCCUAACAGCCUAAUAAGAUAUCUUCAAAAUUUUAAGAAAGAUCUCUAUAUGUUAAUAUUUCUGAAAGACGCUUCCUUUAAACGAGGCCACUGCUAUCACCAUAUCAUGCAAUUCCAAAACUUUUAUUUAAUGCGUAUUUUCUUUCCUUAUCAAAUAGUUAAUGAAUUUUGACUUAGCUUGACACUGACUUAUCAUUCUAGAUGCCAUGACAUAAAACUUAUCAUGAUAUGUCAAAAUAAUUUAAGAUUGUCAUUUGUUCCUGAAAGAGAAACAGGACAUAAACAAUGUUGAAGAUCGUUAUAUUUGCCUUUUCUGUAGUGGUUUUGGUUACUGCGAUAACGUACCGUGACUGCGUACCCAAAGGUAAUGAAAAAGUUGUGUCUGUGAGUAAUCUACAGGUGACUCCAGACGUCAUCAAAUUUCCGGGGACAUUUAACGUAUCAGUAAAUCUGACGUUCAGUCGCGAGGUAACGGAACCUGUUGUUGAUUUUGAGCUGAUCAGAUACUUUCUCGGAUUUCCACUGAAACUACCGUGCAGUGGCAGUUCCGUUGUUGGAACAUGCAACAACCUUCCUAUCUGUUCGAUCAGUUCGAUGUUUGACCGUAUCUUAAAGGAAAAUGACACAAAAAUUAUAACAGCUACGGUCAUAAAUUGGAGCGUCUAAUGAAUGCAACUACAGGGCACUACUGGGAGUGUCCUAUCAAACCAGAAACUGUAGUUGUAGACAACGCACCUUUUAGUCUAACAGACAUUUCUCCAUUCAUCCAUCUACUUGCAGAUGGAGACUACACGAUAACGGUUGUGGCAAAAGAGAACAAGACCGGACCUGUUAUCGGUUGUAUUAAAGUAAAUGCGACAAUUGGAGGAGAAGGCCCUGGGUCUAUUUUCGGUUAACUUGUUCAUUUAAUGGUAAAACAAUAACAACAAACGUCUAAAUAAUAAAAUUAAGAAGAAAAACGUAA